GGACGAACGCUGGCGGCGUGCUUAACACAUGCAAGUCGAACGCUGAAGCUCAGCUUUUGUUGGGUGGAUGAGUGGCGAACGGGUGAGUAACACGUGAGUAACCUGCCCCCUUCUUUGGGAUAACGCCCGGAAACGGGUGCUAAUACUGGAUAUUCACUGGUCUUCGCAUGGGGGUUGGUGGAAAGGGUUUUUCUGGUGGGGGAUGGGCUCGCGGCCUAUCAGCUUGUUGGUGGGGUGAUGGCCUACCAAGGCUUUGACGGGUAGCCGGCCUGAGAGGGUGACCGGUCACAUUGGGACUGAGAUACGGCCCAGACUCCUACGGGAGGCAGCAGUGGGGAAUAUUGCACAAUGGGCGCAAGCCUGAUGCAGCGACGCCGCGUGAGGGAUGGAGGCCUUCGGGUUGUGAACCUCUUUCGCUCAUGGUCAAGCCGCAACAAUGGUUGUGGUGAGGGUAGUGGGUAAAGAAGCGCCGGCUAACUACGUG
RNAcentral lists this ribosomal RNA (484 nucleotides) under uncultured bacterium. RNAcentral's name for it is "partial 16S ribosomal RNA". It matches the Rfam family "Bacterial small subunit ribosomal RNA", at positions 27 to 507 of the family's 1533-position model. The record is from RNAcentral.